Long non-coding RNA from Galeopterus variegatus (Sunda flying lemur), 823 nucleotides. RefSeq lists it as uncharacterized. The transcript has 2 exons. NCBI's taxonomy places the organism in Eukaryota, Metazoa, Chordata, Mammalia, Dermoptera, Cynocephalidae. The record is from RefSeq and is a predicted model, not a curated record.
CUUAUGUAUUCAUAUUUGUAUUCUAAUUCUUUUCUGCUUCUUUCUUAGCCUCACACCCGAAAUAGUCAGUACACCUUCCUCCCCAGAAGAGGAGGAUAAGUCAAUACUUAAUGCAGUUGUUCUUAUUGAUGAUUCAGUGCCAACGACAAAAAUUCAGAUCAGGUUAGCUGAUGGGAGUCGUUUGAUACAAAGAUUCAAUAGUACACACAGGAUCCUGGAUAUCCGGGACUUUAUUGUACAGUCCCGUCCUGAAUUUGCAACUCUUGACUUUAUUCUUGUGACUUCAUUUCCAAAUAAAGAGCUAACAGAUGAAAGUCUGACACUGCAAGAAGCAGAUAUUCUUAACACUGUGAUACUCCAGCAACUAAAAUAAUACUGUUCCUAUCCAUGCAGUAGCAUGUAGGAAUAGAUAAUGUGCCAUAUUAAUAAGGAAAAUACUUCCAGCCUAAAAACAAUCAAAUUAUUUUUCUUAUUUUUACAAAUAAAUUUUGCUUUUAUUGUUAUUCUGUCUUCCAGCCUUUGUACAGAUGAAUUUGGAUUAGGGAUAGAUCUUAAGAUAAGUAUGUUUGAGUUUUUAGUUGCACGGCUGGCUUAUGUUGAUAGCUUUGAAAUAUCUAAGCAAACCAAUUUGUUACAUUCUGAGUGUUAAUGUAAUAACAUUUGUUUACAGAAAAAAUGAACAAAACCCCUUUUUAAUAAAUGCAUUCGAUAGAAUUUGCACUGAAGUUUCUUGAUGCAGCAUUGACCAACAGCCAUUAAGAAAUCUUUUGAUCAAAUAAGUUAAAAAUUUUUCUGUAAUAUAAAUUGAAAGUAUCUACUCUGA